UACACGAUUGAUCUCACUUUA
This is a non-coding RNA of Caenorhabditis elegans, 21 nucleotides long. The record is from Ensembl. NCBI's taxonomy places the organism in Eukaryota, Metazoa, Nematoda, Chromadorea, Rhabditida, Rhabditidae.